GACGAACGCUGGCGGCGUGCUUAACACAUGCAAGUCGAACGGAAAGGCCCUGCUUUUGUGGGGUGCUCGAGUGGCGAACGGGUGAGUAACAAGUGAGUAACCUGCUCUUGACUUUGGGAUAACUUCAGGAAACUGGGGCUACUACCGGAUAGGAGCUCCUGCUGCAUGGUGGGGGUUGGAAAGUUUCGGCGGUUGGGGAUGGACUCGCGGCUUAUCAGCUUGUUGGUGGGGUAGUGGCUUACCAAGGCCUUGACGGGUAGCCGGCCUGAGAGGGUGACCGGCCACAUUGGGACUAAGAUACGGCCCAGACUCCAACGGGAGGCAGCAGUGGGGAAUAUUGCACAAUGGGCGGAAGCCUGAUGCAGCAACGCCGCGUGCGGGAUGACGGCCUGCGGGUUGUAAACCGCUUUAGCCUGUGACGAAGCGUGAGUGACGGUAAUGAGUAAAGAAGCACCGGCUAACUACGUG
This 468-nucleotide ribosomal RNA is filed under the name uncultured bacterium. Its description in RNAcentral is "partial 16S ribosomal RNA". It matches the Rfam family "Bacterial small subunit ribosomal RNA", at positions 28 to 507 of the family's 1533-position model. The record is from RNAcentral.